GACGUAGGUGGCGAACGUUAUCCGGAAUUAUUGGGCGUAAAGGAUGCGUAGAUGGUGUUGUAAGUUAUCGGUGGUAAAUCGAGGCUCAACCUCGUGGAAGUCGGUAAUACUGCUAUACUUGAGGAUAGGAGAGGUUAACGGAACUCCCUGUGGAGCGGUGAAAUGCGUAGAUAUAGGGAAGAACACCAAUAAGGCGAAGGCAGUUAACUAGUCUACUACUGACAUUGAGGCAUGAAAGCGUGGGGAGCAAAACGG
RNAcentral lists this ribosomal RNA (255 nucleotides) under uncultured bacterium. Its description in RNAcentral is "partial 16S ribosomal RNA". It matches the Rfam family "Bacterial small subunit ribosomal RNA", at positions 524 to 776 of the family's 1533-position model. The record is from RNAcentral.